AGAAACACGUUGAGAAGAAGAGUAGGGCAAGGGAGCUGUCCAGAGAGAGGCGCAUAUGGUGGAAGCGCUUUACAGGGAGUUUGUCUGAAAACCAUCUUUGAGUGUCCCUUAAUCGGGAACGGUGAUUCCGUUAUCAUCACAAACGAGAGGCAUAAGGCAGAACUGCUUUAUGCAAGGAGGGUGGAACCGCGAGUAUAUCGUCCCUUGC
Molecule: non-coding RNA, 208 nt
Filed under: [Clostridium] saccharolyticum WM1
Lineage: Bacteria; Bacillati; Bacillota; Clostridia; Lachnospirales; Lachnospiraceae
Description: Clostridium saccharolyticum-like T-box sequence
Rfam family: T-box leader
About the family: Uncharged tRNA acts as the effector for transcription antitermination of genes in the T-box leader family. T-boxes are found upstream of many aminoacyl-tRNA synthetase genes and some amino acid biosynthetic genes usually in Gram-positive bacteria.
Source: RNAcentral